GCUUGUAAACUUAGUGGCGGACGGGUGAGUAACACGUGAGCAACCUGCCUAUCAGAGGGGGAUAACGAUUGGAAACGAUCGCUAAUACCGCAUGACAUAGCGAAACCGCAUGGUUUUGCUAUCAAAGAUUUUAUCGCUGAUAGAUGGGCUCGCGUCCGAUUAGAUAGUUGGUGGGGUAACGGCCUACCAAGUCGACGAUCGGUAGCCGGACUGAGAGGUCGAACGGCCACAUUGGGACUGAGACACGGCCCAGACUCCUACGGGAGGCAGCAGUGGGGGAUAUUGCACAAUGGGGGAAACCCUGAUGCAGCGACGCCGCGUGAGGGAAGACGGUCCUCUGGAUUGUAAACCUCUGUCUUCGGGGACGAAACGAGACGGUACCCGAGGAGGAAGCCACGGCUAACUACGUGCCAGCAGCCGCGGUAAUACGUAGGUGGCAAGCGUUGUCCGGAAUUACUGGGUGUAAAGGGAGCGUAGGCGGGCAGGCAAGUCAGGCGUGAAAUAUAUCGGCUCAACCGGUAACGGCGCUUGAAACUGCAGGUCUUGAGUGAAGUAGAGGUUGGCGGAAUUCCUAGUGUAGCGGUGAAAUGCGUAGAUAUUAGGAGGAACACCAGUGGCGAAGGCGGCCAACUGGGCUUUUACUGACG
Molecule: ribosomal RNA, 647 nt
Filed under: uncultured Lachnospiraceae bacterium
Lineage: Bacteria; Bacillati; Bacillota; Clostridia; Lachnospirales; Lachnospiraceae
Description: bacterial SSU rRNA
Rfam family: Bacterial small subunit ribosomal RNA
Source: RNAcentral